GACUACCAGCGAGUUAGAACCAGUUUUCCAGCAUCACUCCUCACCAGAAGUCUCUUCGUCAAACUCGCCAAGGCCAAGCGACUCUGUCCAAGUGGUUCCUUGCCUUUGGGUCUUUUAAGAUCAAGCACCUCUUGUCUCUUAGGUCUUCGACACUUAUGAAGAGCUACUAAAAAAAAGCUUGAAAAAGGUACUACUUCCUUGUAUUGUGUUACUCUAACUGGGGCUACUUACGAU
This 234-nucleotide unclassified non-coding RNA is filed under the name Hevea brasiliensis (rubber tree). The record is from RNAcentral. Lineage: Eukaryota; Viridiplantae; Streptophyta; Magnoliopsida; Malpighiales; Euphorbiaceae.